CAGUCGUACCUUCGGGUAAUCAGCCUUUCGGGUGCGAUUCUGUGGAGUGUGAGGAGCUUAAACACCUUCAUGUUUUGCAUAUUCGUACUCUUGGGUGUACUUGCCCGUAUGGUUGGUUAACAUCAAUUUUGGUGGUCAUAAAAUGACUGGAGGAAUGUAGCUUCGAUCUCGUAUUGAAGUGUUAUAGCCUUCGGUAGAUGUGGUGAUCGAGAUUGAGGAUUGCAACGGAUACCUUUCGGGGCUACCUGUCUGAUCUCUGAUCGUUGCUUUGGUGCUGAAAGCGUGCUUAUAGUUAUCAAAGUCGAUGGUCAAUAGGUUAGAAUGGGUUAAA
This 331-nucleotide ribosomal RNA is filed under the name uncultured Glomeromycotina. Its description in RNAcentral is "LSU rRNA". Lineage: Eukaryota; Fungi; Glomeromycota. The record is from RNAcentral.